This 164-nucleotide ribosomal RNA is filed under the name Dendrobium trinervium. RNAcentral describes it as "5.8S ribosomal RNA". It matches the Rfam family "5.8S ribosomal RNA". From Rfam's summary of the family: 5.8S ribosomal RNA (5.8S rRNA) is a component of the large subunit of the eukaryotic ribosome. The record is from RNAcentral. Lineage: Eukaryota; Viridiplantae; Streptophyta; Magnoliopsida; Asparagales; Orchidaceae.
GACAUGACUCUCGACAAUGGAUAUCUCGGCUCUCGCAUCGAUGAAGAGCGCAGCGAAAUGCGAUACGUGGUGCGAAUUGCAGAAUCCCGCGAACCAUUGAGUCUUUGAACGCAAGUUGCGCCCGAGGCCAACCAGCUGAGGGCACGUCUGCCUGGGCGUCAAGU